RNAcentral lists this long non-coding RNA (436 nucleotides) under Brachypodium distachyon (stiff brome). RNAcentral describes it as "long non-coding RNA (BDIS_LNC000330)". Lineage: Eukaryota; Viridiplantae; Streptophyta; Magnoliopsida; Poales; Poaceae. The record is from RNAcentral.
GAACUGUCCUGGCAUUAACUUGGAUGACGGUGAAUAUUCAACAAAUCUUCCUUGAGACAGAUUUGAUGGUGGCGAGUUACCGAAGAACCUUCCUUGAGGUAGAUCAGAUGGUGGUGAGUUACCCAAGAACCUUCCUUGAGGUAGAUUAGAUGGUGAUGAGUUACCCAAGAACCUUCCUUGCGGCAGAUUAGAUGGUGGCGAAUUAUGGCAGAACCUUCCUUGAGGUGGAUUGGAUGGUAUCGAGUUAUCGAAGAACCUUCCUUGAGGUCUUCCUUGAUGUUGUUGGGAUGGUGGCGAGUUAUCCAUGAAACUCCCUUGAGAUAGCUUGGAAUGUGUCGAGUUUUCGGUGAACCUCCCUUGAGGUAGCUGGCAUUGUGUUGGGCCAUCUAUAGACCUUUGAGGUGGCCUGGAUGGGGUUGAUGUGGAGGAACUUGCA